This 113-nucleotide ribosomal RNA is filed under the name uncultured Verrucomicrobiales bacterium. RNAcentral describes it as "partial 23S ribosomal RNA". It matches the Rfam family "Bacterial large subunit ribosomal RNA", at positions 1 to 113 of the family's 2925-position model. Lineage: Bacteria; Pseudomonadati; Verrucomicrobiota; Verrucomicrobiia; Verrucomicrobiales. The record is from RNAcentral.
AAUCAAGCUUUUUAGGGCACACAGUGAAUGCCUUGGUGCUAACAGGCGAUGAAGGACGUGAUAAGCUGCGAUAAGCUUCGGGGAGUGGCAAAUACACUUUGAUCCGGAGAUUU